RNAcentral lists this ribosomal RNA (1016 nucleotides) under uncultured bacterium. Its description in RNAcentral is "bacterial SSU rRNA". It matches the Rfam family "Bacterial small subunit ribosomal RNA", at positions 357 to 1376 of the family's 1533-position model. The record is from RNAcentral.
AGGAAUAUUGGUCAAUGGACGAGAGUCUGAACCAGCCAAGUAGCGUGAAGGAUGACUGCCCUAUGGGUUGUAAACUUCUUUUAUACGGGAAUAAAGUGAGGCACGUGUGCCUUUUUGUAUGUACCGUAUGAAUAAGGAUCGGCUAACUCCGUGCCAGCAGCCGCGGUAAUACGGAGGAUGCGAGCGUUAUCCGGAUUUAUUGGGUUUAAAGGGAGCGUAGACGGGUCGUUAAGUCAGCUGUGAAAGUUUGAGGCUCAACCUUAAAAUUGCAGUUGAUACUGGCGUCCUUGAGUACGGUUGAGGCAGGCGGAAUUCGUGGUGUAGCGGUGAAAUGCUUAGAUAUCACGAAGAACCCCGAUUGCGAAGGCAGCCUGCUAAACCGCCACUGACGUUGAGGCUCGAAAGUGUGGGUAUCAAACAGGAUUAGAUACCCUGGUAGUCCACACGGUAAACGAUGGAUACUCGCUGUUGGCGAUAGACUGUCAGCGGCUUAGCGAAAGCGUUAAGUAUCCCACCUGGGGAGUACGCCGGCAACGGUGAAACUCAAAGGAAUUGACGGGGGCCCGCACAAGCGGAGGAACAUGUGGUUUAAUUCGAUGAUACGCGAGGAACCUUACCCGGGCUUGAAUUGCAGACGAAUUGCUUGGAAACAGGCAAGCCGCAAGGCGUCUGUGAAGGUGCUGCAUGGUUGUCGUCAGCUCGUGCCGUGAGGUGUCGGCUUAAGUGCCAUAACGAGCGCAACCCUCGUGUCCAGUUACUAGCAGGUUAUGCUGAGGACUCUGGACAGACUGCCAUCGUAAGAUGUGAGGAAGGUGGGGAUGACGUCAAAUCAGCACGGCCCUUACGUCCGGGGCUACACACGUGUUACAAUGGGGGGUACAGCAGGCAGCUACCGGGCGACCGGAUGCCAAUCCCGAAAGCCUCUCUCAGUUCGGACUGGAGUCUGCAACCCGACUCCACGAAGCUGGAUUCGCUAGUAAUCGCGCAUCAGCCACGGCGCGGUGAAUACGUUCCCG